Acanthochromis polyacanthus (spiny chromis) is the source of this 848-nucleotide long non-coding RNA. RefSeq lists it as uncharacterized. The transcript is spliced from 3 exons. The record is from RefSeq and is a predicted model, not a curated record. Lineage: Eukaryota; Metazoa; Chordata; Actinopteri; Pomacentridae.
UUUUAAAAGAUGCACAUUCCGUGCAUAGAGGUUAUGCGAAUGAUGUCAUAACCAUAGCAACAGCUGGCAGUUGGCAUUUUAUCUCAGAAUUCCGUGGUAUUUUUCAAAAAUCUCCAUUCAAUUUUCCUAUGCCACUCCUUUUUGCCACUCCUUUUUUGUUUAUUUUUAAGCAUUCGCAUACCCUCUAUAGUCCAUAGCUGUAAAAGUAAUAGACACUGCCAACAUUUUCUUUAUACCAAAUUUACCUAUGAGGGAAUUAAAUAUGGCACUUUAAUUCCUUGCAGUUGACUCAGUGAGACACUUGGAGGAAGAAGGCGACAAAGUGACCCAAAACUGCCAGGAUGACCAGAUUCAUUUGGGCGGAGAUGUAUUUCUAAAGUCGGAUGCUUGGUCCAAAAUACAGUCAAACCAGAGAGACUCCCGGUUUGUCAAAGAAUUGGCGGUGGCAGUAUGGGGCACCAAAAUCUUGGCUGAAAGAAGCCUAACAGGCAAGGUCUGCCCAACAACAAAGACCACAAAGCCUCCUUUGUCACCAGCGAAGCUCCAGAUUUUAAAAGGCUGCUUCAGGGAUUGGCUGAAGGCCAAGAAGCUGGAGGACGCAGAGCUGCAGUCCAGAUUUGGGAAAGUCGGACGCUAUAUAACUGAAAAAAUCAUGGAUAUAAAUCGUUUGAAGAAGAGUGAAUGAAUGAAUGAAUUGUGUUGUGCAUGUAUUUCAACUUUUUGAAUGUUUAAAUUAAUUUUUCAAUGUUCACUUGUUUGUCUUAUACAUUGAUAUCAUUUUCCAAAAUUUAAAAUAUUUGUCAUAAUUGUUAAUUAAUAAUUGUUCCACUAUUUUUUUGUUUAUAUUA